This 2046-nucleotide ribosomal RNA is filed under the name Salinispora arenicola CNB458. RNAcentral describes it as "bacterial LSU rRNA". It matches the Rfam family "Bacterial large subunit ribosomal RNA", at positions 924 to 2823 of the family's 2925-position model. The record is from RNAcentral. Lineage: Bacteria; Bacillati; Actinomycetota; Actinomycetes; Micromonosporales; Micromonosporaceae.
GGGCCUACAAGCUUACCGAAAUCAGCCAAACUCCGAAUGCCGGUAAGUGAGAGCGCGGCAGUGAGACUGCGGGGGAUAAGCUUCGUAGUCGAGAGGGAAACAGCCCAGAUCACCAGCUAAGGCCCCUAAGCGUGUGCUAAGUGGAAAAGGAUGUGGGGUCGCAUAGACAACCAGGAGGUUGGCUUAGAAGCAGCCAUCCUUGAAAGAGUGCGUAAUAGCUCACUGGUCAAGUGGUUCCGCGCCGACAAUGUAGCGGGGCUCAAGCACACCGCCGAAGCUGUGGCAUUCACGCGUGUACUUCGCAUGGCCUCUUGUGGGGUUGUGUGCAGGUGUGUGGAUGGGUAGGGGAGCGUCGUGCCGGGGGUGAAGCAGCCGAGUGAUCGAGUUGUGGACGCGGUGCGAGUGAGAAUGCAGGCAUGAGUAGCGAAAGAAGGGUGAGAAACCCUUCCGCCGGAUGACCAAGGGUUCCAGGGCCAGGUUAAUCCGCCCUGGGUGAGUCGGGGCCUAAGGCGAGGCCGAGAGGCGUAGUCGAUGGAUAACGGGUUGAUAUUCCCGUACCCGCGAAGGAGCGUCCCUGAUGAACUUCGUUGUGCUAACCAUCCGAGCUUGGUGUGGUCUUCGGACUGUGCUGGGGGAGCGUGGGAACCUGGCGGGUAGUAGUCAAGCGAUGGGGUGACGCAGGAAGGUAGCUGAGCCCGGCCGGUGGUUGUGCCGGGGUAAGCGUGUAGGCCGUGUCGUAGGUAAAUCCGCGGCGCGUGUGGCUGAGACGUGAUGCCGAGCCGAUUCAGGUGAAGUCAGUGAUCCUAUGCUGUCGAGAAAAGCCUCUAGCGAGUUCCGAGCGGCCCGUACCCCAAACCGACACAGGUGGUCAGGUAGAGAAUACCGAGGCGAUCGGGUGAACUGUGGUUAAGGAACUCGGCAAAUUGCCCCCGUAACUUUGGGAGAAGGGGGGCCGGAGACGUGAAGGCACGUGCUGCUGGAGCGUUGUAUGGCCGCAGAGAGCAGGGGGAAGCGACUGUUUACUAAAAACACAGGUCCAUGCGAAGAAGUAAUUCGAUGUAUAUGGACUGACGCCUGCCCGGUGCUGGAACGUUAAGGGGACCUGUUAGUCUUUCGGGGCGAAGCGGAGAACUUAAGCGCCAGUAAACGGCGGUGGUAACUAUAACCAUCCUAAGGUAGCGAAAUUCCUUGUCGGGUAAGUUCCGACCUGCACGAAUGGCGUAACGACUUCCCCACUGUCUCAACCACAGGCCCGGCGAAAUUGCAUUACGAGUAAAGAUGCUCGUUACGCGCGGCAGGACGGAAAGACCCCGGGACCUUUACUAUAGCUUGACAUUGGUAUCCGAAUUUGCUUGUGUAGGAUAGGUGGGAGCCGGUGAAGUGUGCACGCCAGUGCAUGUGGAGGCAAUCUUGAAAUACCACUCUGGUUGGUUUGGGUAUCUAACUUCGGACCGUUAUCCGGUUCAGGGACAGUGUCUGGUGGGUAGUUUAACUGGGGCGGUUGCCUCCUAAAGGGUAACGGAGGCGCCCAAAGGUUCCCUCAGCCUGGUUGGCAAUCAGGUGUUGAGUGUAAGUGCACAAGGGAGCUUGACUGUGAGACUGACGGGUCGAGCAGGGACGAAAGUCGGGACUAGUGAUCCGGCACUGGCGUAUGGAAGCGGUGUCGCUCAACGGAUAAAAGGUACCCCGGGGAUAACAGGCUGAUCUUCCCCAAGAGUCCAUAUCGACGGGAUGGUUUGGCACCUCGAUGUCGGCUCGUCGCAUCCUGGGGCUGUAGCAGGUCCCAAGGGUUGGGCUGUUCGCCCAUUAAAGCGGUACGCGAGCUGGGUUUAGAACGUCGUGAGACAGUUCGGUCCCUAUCCGCCGUGCGCGUAGGAUACUUGAGAAGGGCUGUCCCUAGUACGAGAGGACCGGGACGGACGAACCUCUGGUGUGCCAGUUGUCCCGCCAGGGGCACGGCUGGUUAGCUACGUUCGGAAGGGAUAACCGCUGAAAGCAUCUAAGCGGGAAGCUCGCUUCAAGAUGAGGUAUCCCAUCCACCCUUGU